UGGUAAUCCAGCUCAGCACAAAAGGAACAGCUGGUUUGGUAUAUGUGCUGGACUGAGGAGCCAAUGGUGCGAAGCUACAAUCUGUGGGAUCAUGACUGAACGCCUCUAAGUCAGAAUCCCGCCUAGA
This 127-nucleotide non-coding RNA is filed under the name Oryzias latipes (Japanese medaka). Its description in RNAcentral is "Eukaryotic large subunit ribosomal RNA". It matches the Rfam family "Eukaryotic large subunit ribosomal RNA", at positions 3017 to 3151 of the family's 3401-position model. The record is from Rfam by way of RNAcentral. Lineage: Eukaryota; Metazoa; Chordata; Actinopteri; Beloniformes; Adrianichthyidae.